UGGGGAAUAUUGGACAAUGGGCGGAAGCCUGAUCCAGCCAUGCCGCGUGUGUGAAGAAGGCCUUUUGGUUGUAAAGCACUUUAAGCGAGGAGGAGGCUACUAGUACUAAUACUACUGGAUAGUGGACGUUACUCGCAGAAUAAGCACCGGCUAACUCUGUGCCAGCAGCCGCGGUAAUACAGAGGGUGCGAGCGUUAAUCGGAUUUACUGGGCGUAAAGCGUGCGUAGGCGGCUGAUUAAGUCGGAUGUGAAAUCCCUGAGCUUAACUUAGGAAUUGCAUUCGAUACUGGACAGCUAGAGUAUGGGAGAUGAUGGUAGAAUUCCAGGUGUAGCGGUGAAAUGCGUAGAGAUCUGGAGGAAUACCGAUGGCGAAGGCAGCCAUCUGGCCUAAUACUGACGCUGAGGUACGAAAGCAUGGGGAGCAAACAGG
Molecule: ribosomal RNA, 430 nt
Filed under: Pseudomonadota bacterium
Lineage: Bacteria; Pseudomonadati; Pseudomonadota
Description: Proteobacteria bacterium partial 16S ribosomal RNA
Rfam family: Bacterial small subunit ribosomal RNA
Source: RNAcentral